This 253-nucleotide ribosomal RNA is filed under the name uncultured bacterium. Its description in RNAcentral is "partial 16S ribosomal RNA". It matches the Rfam family "Bacterial small subunit ribosomal RNA", at positions 524 to 776 of the family's 1533-position model. The record is from RNAcentral.
UACAGAGGGGGCAAGCGUUGUUCGGAAUUACUGGGCGUAAAGGGCGCGUAGGCGGCCUGUUAAGUCGAACGUGAAAUCCCCGGGCUCAACCCGGGAACUGCGUCCGAUACUGGCAGGCUUGAAUUCGGGAGAGGGAUGUGGAAUUCCAGGUGUAGCGGUGAAAUGCGUAGAUAUCUGGAGGAACACCGGUGGCGAAGGCGGCAUCCUGGACCGAUAUUGACGCUGAUGCGCGAAAGCCAGGGGAGCAAACGGG